UACGUAGGGUCCGAGCGUUGUCCGGAAUUACUGGGCGUAAAGAGCUCGUAGGCGGUCUGUCGCGUCUGCUGUGAAAACUCAGGGCUUAACCCUGAGCUUGCAGUGGGUACGGGCAGACUAGAGUGCGGUAGGGGAGAUUGGAAUUCCUGGUGUAGCGGUGGAAUGCGCAGAUAUCAGGAGGAACACCGAUGGCGAAGGCAGAUCUCUGGGCCGUAACUGACGCUGAGGAGCGAAAGCGUGGGGAGCGAACAGG
This 253-nucleotide ribosomal RNA is filed under the name uncultured bacterium. RNAcentral's name for it is "partial 16S ribosomal RNA". It matches the Rfam family "Bacterial small subunit ribosomal RNA", at positions 524 to 776 of the family's 1533-position model. The record is from RNAcentral.